UACGUAGGGUGCGAGCGUUGUCCGGAAUUAUUGGGCGUAAAGGGCUCGUAGGCGGUUUGUCGCGUCGGGAGUGAAAACCUUGGGCUUAACUCAGGGCUUGCUUUCGAUACGGGCAGACUAGAGGUAUGCAGGGGAGAACGGAAUUCCUGGUGUAGCGGUGAAAUGCGCAGAUAUCAGGAGGAACACCGGUGGCGAAGGCGGUUCUCUGGGCAUGAUCUGACGCUGAGGAGCGAAAGUGUGGGGAGCGGACAGG
RNAcentral lists this ribosomal RNA (253 nucleotides) under uncultured bacterium. Its description in RNAcentral is "partial 16S ribosomal RNA". It matches the Rfam family "Bacterial small subunit ribosomal RNA", at positions 524 to 776 of the family's 1533-position model. The record is from RNAcentral.